UACGUAGGGGGCAAGCGUUGUCCGGAAUUAUUGGGCGUAAAGCGCGCGCAGGCGGUUCCUUAAGUCUGAUGUGAAAUCUCGGGGCUCAACCCCGAGCUGUCAUUGGAAACUGGGGAACUUGAGUACAGAAGAGGAGAGUGGAAUUCCACGUGUAGCGGUGAAAUGCGUAGAUAUGAGGAGGAACACCAGUGGCGAAGGCGACUCGCUGGUCUGGAACUGACGCUGAGGCGCGAAAGCGUGGGGAGCAAACAGG
This 253-nucleotide unclassified non-coding RNA is filed under the name uncultured Caryophanales bacterium. Its description in RNAcentral is "uncultured Bacillales bacterium contains 16S-23S intergenic spacer region". It matches the Rfam family "Bacterial small subunit ribosomal RNA", at positions 524 to 776 of the family's 1533-position model. Lineage: Bacteria; Bacillati; Bacillota; Bacilli; Caryophanales. The record is from RNAcentral.